GAUGAACGCUAGCGGCAGGCUUAAUACAUGCAAGUCGAGGGGCAGCAUGACCGUAGCAAUACGGUUGAUGGCGACCGGCAAACGGGUGCGGAACACGUACACAACCUUCCUUCGAGCGGGGAAUAGCCCGGGGAAACCCGGAUUAAUACCCCAUAGUAUAUUGAAGAGGCAUCUCUUUACUAUUAAAGAUUUAUCACUUGAAGAUGGGUGUGCGGCUGAUUAGCUAGNGGUGAGGUAAUGGCUCACCAAGGCGACGACGGGUAGCUGGUCUGAGAGGACGACCAGCCACACUGGAACUGAGACACGGUCCAGACACCUACGGGUGGCAGCAGUCGAGAAUCUUUCACAAUGGGGGCAACCUGAUGGAGCGACGCCGCGUGGAGGUUAAGGUCUUCGGAUUGUAAACUCCUGUCAUGCGAGAACAAAGCCCGCAAGGGUGUGAUAGUACCGCAAGAGGAAGAGACGGCUAACUCUGUGCCAGCAG
RNAcentral lists this ribosomal RNA (484 nucleotides) under uncultured bacterium. Its description in RNAcentral is "bacterial SSU rRNA". It matches the Rfam family "Bacterial small subunit ribosomal RNA", at positions 28 to 514 of the family's 1533-position model. The record is from RNAcentral.